GCUGGGAGUGGUGGCCUGCACCUGUAGUCCCAGCUUCUCAAGAGGCUGAGGCAGGAGGAUCACUUAAGCCCAGGAGUUCAAGAUUGCAGUGAGCUGUGCUUGUACCACUGCAUUCUACCCUGGGCAUCAGAGUGAGACCCUGUCUUUA
RNAcentral lists this non-coding RNA (148 nucleotides) under Pan paniscus (pygmy chimpanzee). The record is from Rfam by way of RNAcentral. RNAcentral also lists the same sequence under 1 other name. Lineage: Eukaryota; Metazoa; Chordata; Mammalia; Primates; Hominidae.